This 433-nucleotide ribosomal RNA is filed under the name uncultured bacterium. RNAcentral's name for it is "partial 16S ribosomal RNA". It matches the Rfam family "Bacterial small subunit ribosomal RNA", at positions 29 to 507 of the family's 1533-position model. The record is from RNAcentral.
AACGAACGCUGGCGGCAUGCCUAACACAUGCAAGUCGAACGAGACCUUCGGGUCUGGUGGCGCACGGGUGCGUAAAGCGUGGGAACCUGCCCUUAGAAUCUGAAUAACUCCCCGAAAUGGGUGCUAGUACCGGAUAAUGUCUUCGGACCAAAGAUUUAUCGGCUUGGGAUGGGCCCGCGUUGGUUUAGCUAGUUGGUAUGGUAAAAGCCUACCAAGGCGACGAUGCAUAGCUGGUCUGAGCGGCUGAUCAGCCACACUGGGACUGAGACACGGCCCAGACUCCUACGGGAGGCAGCAGUGGGGAAUAUUAGACAAUGGACGAAAGCCUGAUCCAGCAAUGCCGCGGGAGUGAUGCAGGCCUUAGGGUUGUAAAGCUCUUUUACCCGGGAUGAUAAUGACAGUACCGGGAGAAUAAGCUCCGGCUAACUCCGUG